GACGAACGCUGGCGGCGUGCUUAACACAUGCAAGUCGAGCGGUAAGGCCCUUUCGGGGGUACACGAGCGGCGAACGGGUGAGUAACACGUGGGUGACCUGCCCUCAGCUCUGGGAUAAGCCUGGGAAACCGGGUCUAAUACCGGAUAUGACUCCAUGACGCAUGUUGUGGGGUGGAAAGCCUUGUGCGGCUGAGGAUGGGCCCGCGGCCUAUCAGCUUGUUGGUGGGGUGAUGGCCUACCAAGGCGACGACGGGUAGCCGGCCUGAGAGGGCGACCGGCCACGCUGGGACUGAGACACGGCCCAGACUCCUACGGGAGGCAGCAGUGGGGAAUCUUGCGCAAGUGGGCGAAAGCCUGACGCAGCGACGCCGCGUGA
This 376-nucleotide ribosomal RNA is filed under the name uncultured bacterium. Its description in RNAcentral is "bacterial SSU rRNA". It matches the Rfam family "Bacterial small subunit ribosomal RNA", at positions 28 to 404 of the family's 1533-position model. The record is from RNAcentral.